AUUGAACGCUGGCGGCAGGCCUAACACAUGCAAGUCGAACGAGUGGCGGACGGGUGAGUAAUGCCUGGGAAACUACCCUAUGGAGGGGGAUAACUACUGGAAACUGUAGCUAAUACCGCAUACCAUAGGAUGUGCCCAAGGGGGAUUAGGUAGUUGGGGGGGUAAAGGCUCACCAAGGCGACGAUCCCUAGCUGGUCUGAGAGGAUGACCAGCCACACUGGGACUGAGACACGGCCCAGACUCCUACGGGAGGCAGCAGUGGGGAAUGUUGCACAAUGGGCGCAAGCCUGACGCAGCCAUGCCGCGUGAAUGAAGAAGGCCUUCGGGUUGUAAAGUACUUUCGGUGGCGAGGCGUUAACUGCAGAAGAAGCACCGGCUAACUCCGUGCCAGCCGCCGCGGUAAUUC
RNAcentral lists this ribosomal RNA (406 nucleotides) under uncultured bacterium. RNAcentral's name for it is "partial 16S ribosomal RNA". It matches the Rfam family "Bacterial small subunit ribosomal RNA", at positions 30 to 526 of the family's 1533-position model. The record is from RNAcentral.